GUGAGAUACCACUGACACAUUCUAGUCGUCUUACCCCUAUUUAAGAGCGACUCCUAGAAUACAAUGAUCAUUUCAUCUUCAUCUCAACUUUGCAACAAGAGAGUCACCUGCAAGGCCCUGCUCGAUUUCAGUGCUUUGCACUUUAUCUUGUAAAUAGUGAUCGUGAUUUUGAACUGCAGCUGAGGCUCCACUGCGAGAACAUUUGGAUUUUUUUUUCUCUCCCAGUUGUUACCAUUAUAUCCUUAUACUGUUAGCCGUCGGAACCAUGCAUGUGGGGGAGAGAUAAAGGAAAAACAGACAGAUGCAUCCAGGAUUUCUAUAUACCAAUGGAUGUUUUUAAUUUCUUAUUCUGCUGGAAGUUAGUCUCGCGAGCACAAACGAGCUGAUUGGUGAAAGAACUUUGUUUUGGCGAUCAAGGAUAGAUCGCAUUCUUUUAAAAAUCUAUGAUUUUACUCUCUUCGUAAAACCUAUCAUUGUGAUCUUAUUUUAGAGUGACCAGUAGGUCUUUGAUUAGGUUUCAUCUAUAUACUCAGGCAAAAUAAUUGUCUUUACAUAGCCCUACCUACUUUGAGUUUUUUUUUCUCAGUAAACACUAAAUAAACUGUAAAUUUUAACAUUUUGGGGAUCGUAAAGAGGGAAGAAAAACAAAAUCAGUCCACGAACGUCAUUCUGAUGUCAAGAGGGUUUCUUUCGAGAGGAAAAACUGAGAAAAGUGAAUUGUGAACCGACUGCUUCCGCUGGAUCCAAGCUGGAAGCUGAAGAAUCCAUUUCAGCUGCUCUACCGCUAAAACUCUUAACCAAUCCAUUCACCCGGACAAAACAAGCGAGAAGAGAAAAGGAAGAUCUCGCGCGCCUGAUCAAGCACCAAGGGGCUGGGAAUAUUAUUAUAUAUUUUUUUAUCUCUUCGGAUUUCGAGGUAUACGAAUAUCAUUUUGUUAUAAACUCAGUAUGGCUACUGUUUCGAUACUUGGUGGUUUGUUCGUGCUGCUUUUAUCCCUGGCGUGUGUACAACCUCAGCGGUGUCCCCCGUUCCCCAUUACGUGCACUGGAAGGGUUAAUCCCCAGAGAUGGGGUAAAAGAUCAUCAUCUUCAUCAUCAUUGACAUCAACCACGUCCUCAACAUCAGAUUCGCGACUCAUACAACAUAUCAGGAAUGCAGCUAAACUACUCUUACAUAAAAACACAGAACCUUCGACGCCAUUUCCACGUGAAGACGAUGAAGUCAGGAGAAAGCUUUCUGAUAUCCUAGACAAAUUGCAAUGGAAUUUAAAUCUUUGAAAUUGGGCUAUGUUUUCUGGAGGAUUAAGUUUACUUUUUUCUAGACCACCGUUAUAAUACACCUCGCUGAAAAUCAAGCAAGGACAACAUCAGCACAGUCUAAGUCAAACCCAACCAACACAUUGGACAAAACAUCUACGGCAGAUCAAAGCACCUAUGAAGUGAAUAGAAGAUUCAUCUAUUUCAUCUUUAGAGAUCUGUCGAGCCAAAGAGCGAGUCCUCAGAAUAGCUCAAUCUUCUCCUUCAACAGUCUAAAUUGGACAUCGUAAUCAGCUUAUAACGACUCACAAUUAUUUACCUAAACUACACGGUAGCUGUUUAUUCGCAAACAUUGCAAGUACCCUCAGACAUUUUCGACCAUAACUUGUUUUUUAAUCGAUUCGACCGAAUCCUUCAUAUUGGCCGACGUCCCACGAAAGAGAGGAAACCAAUUGCGACUCGUAUUACGCGAAGAUGUCAGAUUAUGAUCACUGAUCUCUUCUUUUCUGUCUAUUAAAACAACCGUCAUGACAGGAAGUCAGCAAGAGCUUCCAGAAAAGAGCAAAAUGGUACGACUGACGCUCAUUACGCUUGGGUUCGAUUUGAUCAAUUCUCUAUAUGGCAUGCAUAUAGUUAAUACAUUUCAAAAUAUUUGAUUUCCAUUGUCAUCUUAGAGUUCUGACUUUACUUUCCCAGUUAUGAAAUUAUCAUUUUAGAAUGACGUAGCAGCAUGUAUCUAUAGCAAAGGAAUUACAGUUCAAUGAAAUGAUCAGUCUUUACUUAUAUCACUAUUUGCAUUUAUAGCGUCAGUAAUAGAUUGUUACUAAAAUCAAUUACUUUGUCACCAAGAAUCAAUUUCAGCACCCUGUGUAAUGCACCUACGUGAAUGCCGUAUAGGAAAUGAUUUUAUCAUAGAAGUCAGAACUUGGUGCUUGUCGAGAGGUAUCGAAACAAUGUUAAUUUGUGAGAGAAAGAUCCUACAUAAAAGUAAAUAAUAAAAUACUA
Molecule: long non-coding RNA, 2262 nt
Organism: Lytechinus variegatus (green sea urchin)
Lineage: Eukaryota; Metazoa; Echinodermata; Echinoidea; Temnopleuroida; Toxopneustidae
Exons: 3
Source: RefSeq, a predicted model, not a curated record